AGUUUUGCUCUUCUAAAAGGUAAAGUGUAUCAAGUGAUGUGUAAAUUCUCAUUUUCCAUGCCCUCAGGGAUAUAAUUUUAAAUUUUUAUGUUGGCAAGUAUGAUUGAUUGGUUGGUUGGGUUAUCUUGUCUCUUGGUAUUCUUGAGUGUCAAAGGAAGUUCUUUCUCUCUUCUGGUUUAGGGGUCGUUGAAGAAGUGAUCUUGGCAUAAAUUGAAAUUGUGUGAACUAGGUGAAUAUUACUUGAUGUCUGUUUUUAUUAGCUCGCAUUCAUGAAUGAAACACUUCUGCCAGAUAUUUUAGUUUG
RNAcentral lists this long non-coding RNA (304 nucleotides) under Arachis ipaensis. Its description in RNAcentral is "long non-coding RNA (AIPA_LNC000385)". The record is from RNAcentral. Lineage: Eukaryota; Viridiplantae; Streptophyta; Magnoliopsida; Fabales; Fabaceae.